GGUCAGGAUGAACGCUGGCGGCGUGCUUAACACAUGCAAGUCGAACGGAGUUUUUAACGGAAGUUUCGGAUGGAAGUUUAGAAACUUAGUGGCGGACGGGUGAGUAACGCGUGGGUAACCUGCCUCAUACAGGGGGAUAACAGUUAGAAAUGACUGCUAACACCGCAUAAUAUAGCGAAACCGCAUGAUUUUGCUAUCAAAUAUUUAUAGGUAUGAGAUGGGCCCGCGUCUGAUUAGCUAGUUGGUGGGGUAAAGGCCUACCAAGGCGACGAUCAGUAGCCGGCUUGAGAGAGUGACCGGCCACAUUGGGACUGAGACACGGCCCAAACUCCUACGGGAGGCAGCAGUGGGGAAUAUUGGACAAUGGGGGAAACCCUGAUCCAGCGAACCGCCGCGUGAGUGAAGAAGUAUUUCGGUAUGUAAAGCUCUAUCAGCAGGGAAGAUAAUGACAGUACCUGACUAAGAAGCCCCGGCUAACUACGUGCCAGCAGCGGC
Molecule: ribosomal RNA, 495 nt
Filed under: uncultured bacterium
Lineage: Bacteria
Description: bacterial SSU rRNA
Rfam family: Bacterial small subunit ribosomal RNA
Source: RNAcentral